GUGAGAUGUCCGGCUUGCUCGACUGAAGCCCGGACGUCCCAGGAUGCGAGUGCCAGUGGGCCACUUUUGGUAAGCAGAACUGGCGCUGUGGGAUGAACCAAACGCUGGGUUAAGGCGCCCGAUGCCAGACGCUCAUCAGAUCCCAUGAAAGGUGUUGGUUGCUAUAGACAGCAGGACGGUGGCCAUGGAAGUCGGAAUCCGCUAAGGAGUGUGUAACAACUCACCUGCCGAAGCAACUAGCCCUGAAAAUGGAUGGCGCUGUAGCGUCGAGCCCAUACCCGGCCGCCCCGGCUGGGCACGGAAGCUUAGGCCGGGGUGAGUAGGAGGUGUCGCAGCGGCGUGCGUUGAAGGUGCCGGGCGUGGGCCCGCCUGGAGCCGCCGCUGGUGCAGAUCUUGGUGGUAGUAGCAAAUACUCAAGUGAGAACCUUGAGGACUGAGGUGGAGAAGGGUUCCAUGUGAACAGCAGUUGAACAUGGGUCAGUCGGUCCUAAGGGAUAGGAGAAAUCCGUUCCGAAGCGGGACCUGCGUGCACCGUGAGGUCCCGUGGUCGACCGAAAGGGAAUCGGGUUAAUAUUCCCGAACUCGGACGCGGAGAUCGGCCCCUCGGGGUCAACUGCGGUAACGCAACCAAACUCGGAGACGUCGAUCGGGGUCCCGGGAAGAGUUGUCUUUUCUUUGUAAGGGAUCGGCUCCCUGGAAUCGGCUCGCCCGGAGAUAGGGAUGCUGUUCCCGUAAAGCACCGCGCCUCUUGCGGUGUCCGGAGCGCUCCGGUCGGCCCUUGAAAAUCCGAGGGAGAGUGUGAUUUCGUGCCGGACCGUACCCAUAUCCGCAGCAGGUCUCCAAGGUGAACAGCCUCUAGUCGAUG
Molecule: ribosomal RNA, 865 nt
Filed under: Pseudocellus sp. MCZ IZ 99190
Lineage: Eukaryota; Metazoa; Arthropoda; Arachnida; Ricinulei; Ricinoididae
Description: partial large subunit ribosomal RNA
Rfam family: Eukaryotic large subunit ribosomal RNA
Source: RNAcentral